CCUGCGGGGCGGGCACCGGCGAGCGGCGGGCGAGGGCGCGCAGCGGAGAGCGCACACCCCGCGCUGCCCGCCCGGCGUGCCGCGGGCAUGGAGCAGGACAAGUACCUGCCCCAGCUGAUGGCCGAGAAGGACAGCCUGGAUCCCUGCUUUGUUCAUGCCAUGCGCCUGCUGGAAGACGAAAUGGAAAAAUUUCAGGGUUCUGAAGGCAAGAAGGAAGAUGAAGAAAAGAAAUAUCUCGAUGUUAUCAGCAACAAAAACAUAAAGCUGUCAGAGAGAGUUCUGAUCCCUGUCAAACAAUAUCCAAAGUUCAAUUUUGUUGGGAAAUUGCUUGGACCAAGAGGAAACUCUUUAAAGAGGUUACAAGAAGAAACAGGUGCAAAAAUGUCCAUCCUGGGAAAAGGAUCCAUGAGGGAUAAAGCUAAGGAGGAAGAACUAAGGAAAAGUGGAGAAGCCAAAUACGCGCACUUGAGUGAUGAGCUCCACGUAUUAAUUGAAGUUUUUGCUCCACCUGGGGAGGCGUAUUCUCGUAUGAGUCAUGCCUUGGAAGAAAUAAAAAAAUUCCUGGUUCCUGAUUAUAAUGAUGAAAUUCGCCAGGAGCAGCUGAGAGAACUGUCAUAUUUGAAUGGUUCUGAGGACUCAUCACGUGGACGGGGUAUUCGAGGAAGAGGGAUCCGUGUGCCACCUGCAGCUCCUUCAAGGGGUCGUGGGGGUGCGAUUCCUCCACCCCUGCCUGGACGAGGUGCCCAAGCACCCAGAGGAGCGCCAGUGACCCGUGGAGCCCUCCCUGUGCCACCAGUGGCAAGGGGUGUUCCCACCCCUCGAGCCAGGGGUGCCCCGUCUGUCCCGGGUUACAGACCACCCCCGCCACCUGCACACGAGGCCUACGAGGACUAUGGAUACGAUGAUGGGUAUGGGGGUGAAUAUGAUGAUCCAAGCUAUGAGGCAUAUGAUAACAGUUAUGCUACCCAAACACAAAGUGUGCCUGAAUAUUAUGACUACGGUCACGGAACAAGUGAAGAGGCUUAUGACAGCUACGCACAAGAAGAAUGGGCCACAACCCGUUCCAGCCUAAAGGCACCACCUCCAAGGUCAGCCAGAGGGGGUUACAGGGAACACCCCUAUGGUAGAUAUUGAAGGUCCUCCUCAUCUGUGACCUCAUCUCAAAGACAAUUAAUAGCCUGUGGUCUCCACAUAAACAGCAACAAGACAAUGCUAAAUAUCACCGCCCUUGAAGGCAGUUUAGAGGGCUGAUAUUCUUUUGAGACUAUCAGACUUGAUGGCUGAUGAUUAUUAAGGAAAUAUGUCGCAGCACUCAAAGGAUGACUAAACGUUAAACAGGGACUCACAGGCACUGGACAGCUAAGCAGCAGAUCUGCUGAGAAGUGGUCAGGUUACUGUCAUUCCUGAUGGGCUUGGCCUUGGCCAGCAGUGGGUCCAUCCUGGAGCCACCAGGCAUUGGCUCUGCAGGACAAGGGAGAAGCUUCAAGCAACUUCUCACAGAAGUCACCCUUGUUAACCCCUUCUGCUACCAAAACCUGGCAAGACAAACCCAACGCACAAGGUCUUGCAUAUGCUGCUUCUUUCUUUUUCUUUUAAUUUUUCCCUUUCUUUUUCCUCUUCUUUCCAUAUACCUACUUUAGCUGAAAAGAUAAUCAAGGAUACUAUCAUUCAAAUGAAAUACUACUAUUCUCUAUGAUAUAGAAAUUCAAUUUAGUGUUCUCUGAGUAUUUAAAAUUGAUAGGGUUCUUUUUCUUAUUCUGUAUGGUAUAUUAAGAAUUAUAUAUCUUUUAAAUAUCUCUUUUAGAAUUCAUAUGUAAAAAUGCAAACAACUGUCAGGAAUGUUACAUUAUGUUGAAUUCUAGUUAAGCAAAGUAGGUUUCUGAAGGAGAAUUUAAUCCUGCAGAUUUUACUCAGGUUUCGUUUACUAAAAGUCCAUGCUGACAUCAAGGAAUGAAAAGAGAAUAAUAUAUAUAAUUUAAUUAAAUUCAAACAGAACACAUUCCUGUAAAGGACUGUAUUGCAUCAUUCUAGCGCAUGUCCUGCUUAACUGGCAUGUGAAAUAACCUUGAUCUAGGAAGAGUACUUCAGUUACAGUACCAACAUUAGGAUUCUGCUUUUCAUAUCAUCAUAACUAAUUUUCCCAUCUCAACCUGGCAAUCAAGUUCAUCUGUUCAUGAUAGUCACCAUUUUAUUUUCAUAACAACUAACAAAUAAGUUUUUGAAGGAGGCACAAUACUUUUCUUUACAGUCUUUUAUGAUGGUAUUGCUGAACUUGUUUGCAAAUCUAAGGCAAAAAUGAGUCAUCCACUAGACAGUGAAGGCCUGUGGAAUACGUGCUUUAGGAAAUCUAGUGCUCAUUCAAAAGAGUUAUUGUAACCCCAAGAAUACUUCAUAGUUCUUAUAAAGCUUAAAUAGCACCUACAGAGCUUAGAAGAAAAUUUCCGCAUAGAACUCCAAAUACUUAAUGAAGGCAGUAGAUAUUUUAAUCUCUGCCUUAUAAUAGAGAAUUAGAAAAAUAAUGAAGCUGAAUGAUUUGGCUAAAAUCAUGCAGCAGAUCAGAGUGACAUAAUAAAGUGCAAUUAGCAAAGCAGCAGGUGAGGGUAAGAAGCUGCAUCAGGAAAUGAAACACAAGACGUAUUUAGAGCUGUGGUUUGUUGUGAGAAUUGAACUCCCUUGUCUAUCAUGCAGUUGUACUAUUAUCACUUGGCACCUGCUGGACUUUACCAGGCAACUGGAUGAAGCAGCCAGCAGAAUGUGUGUGUGUAGGGAACAUACAUACUUGGGCCAGAUUUACAUUAAAGAAGCCUGUUAUUAUUAUCUUCAUCCCUUUGCAUUAUAACUCUGUUUUUCUAUAGCUGCAUCAACUGUUGCCAUGGUAAGUUUCUCAUGCUGUGUGUCUUUGAUGAAGAAGAAAUACAUCUCUAAACACUGAUAAGGACUUGAGACUCCUGGUAAUACCCAUUGUCCUCCCUAUAGCACUGAACACAUUGGGAUUGGACCCUAAAAACCUACAUAUUCUUAUAUUUUAUAGUGCUGACAGUUCUAGAAAUAACAGAAGUUCUAUUUUAGACCAUUUUAGGGAUCAUUUUAGAUUCAAAGUUGUUUGGGUUUUACUACUUUGAAGUCUGCUAGACUAAAUUAGUGGAAAUAAGGCAUCAGACUUUGUAAUACCUAGUCAACCAAAAAUAACCCUAAGAAUAUGUUUAAGGAUCUAAAAAAUUGUGUUAGUUUUUUUUAAUAUGAAAACAUUUUAUAACAGGUUCUACAUCUGGACUUAUGUGGGUGACUCAUUCUCAUUCGCAACUCUCACAGAUAAAAUAUAGAACCCCAAAACAAGCUAUACAACUUUAAUCUGUCAUGCCUGCAUUUCUCUCAUUUAUCUUGUAAAUAUACUCUUGGCAGGGCUGGUAAUUUUAGCUACCAUUAAGAUAACCAGUGCAUUCUGUAAAUGCAACUGUGUCCACUUCAAAUUAAAUUUUCCAUUAUGACUAUCUACUCGAUCCAAGGAUUUUGGAUGCUAAGCACUUUAGAAAAAUAAAAAAUUUUUGGAAUUUACACAAUAAUAAAUGUUCCUUUUUUGUUAUCAAACAUCUGUGAAAGUAUAUUGCAAAACACGUGUCACAAUACGCUCCAGGGCUGGUUUUUCAUGCCUGAGAGAAUAAGAACUGCCUUGCUUUGUUCAGACCAUGAAUGUAUCCUGACCAGUAUCUUUUUUUCUAUCAGAUCCAGAAAUGGAUGUUUGGAGUACAUGGUGGAGGGGUCAGGAGAAAUAUGUAGAACAAGUAGAAGCUCUGCUGUAUUAUUAGCAAAUUAACACCAGACUGGUCCUAUCUCAGACUUGUUUUCCCGGUGCCCGUCUUUUUAACUCCACUGUCUUGCCUAAGGUACAAAAUAGAUGUCUAUGAUAAUAAUGUAUAAAGGUUGUGUGCCCAAAUGGGCUUUUAUCCAUAGACUGGCUGACAUUCUCAGGUACUGGGGUCUCUGCAGUGAUUUGGGUUACAAGAAAAGUGGAAGGCGUUUAAUGACCAAAUAGCUGAGUUUGACUAAAGCCGAGGAAUGGAUUAUAUUAUCCUUCAGCAUCUCUACCAGCAGAAUUUUGUAUGAGCCAAAUUGCUCAAAGUAAAAACCUGCUAAUGCUGUAUUUCUUCUUGUCUUGAGGUCUUACAGAAAAUCUUGGGAUCUGAUUUUCAUCAGAGUUACAAGUGGCAUCAUCAGGAGUUUUGCCUGACUAUGCAGAGUGCUGUUUAAGGUUAGGUGCAAGUGUUUGGUUUCCAAGGAUAUGUAACAGAGGUGAAUGUUUUAUUUGAACUCAGAAAUGUAAUAGAAAAUUAGUCACACUAAUGAGGUAUUCGCAUACUAUAGCCACAAGUGACACAGAAAUACAACUGAAAACCUGAUAAUUUUGUCAAGAAAAAUUAAAGAUUUGAAUAGAGUUAAACAAUUAAUAAAGGAACAACACAUUGAAUAAGGAAGAUAAAAGAACUAUUGAAUAAUUGGUUUUCAGUGCCCUUUCUUAUGCAUGAAAUUAAGCAGAAAAAAACCACAACUCAACCAUUGUAGACUCAGUGGUUGAAACAAAAAAUAAAUAAAACUGAAAUUUAACUCAACCACUGACUACAUCAAAUGUAUACAUUAAAAGACCUGAAUUAAGGUUUCACUGGCUUGUAACUGAUAUCUAACUAACUUCAGAGUGCUUGGGUUACUUUAACCUUUUUGCAAGCCUGAUGUUUAGACCUACCUAAUAUUUUCCAUCAAGGAAAAGUUUAUGGAAAGGUUUACAUAAUUUGCAAAUUGAAAGUUCUUGUAUCAGAAAUUUGCUUAGGAUUUGAGGAAUCCUCCUGAGGGUCCUAAAAAUUAUUUUCUGAUUCUUUCUUGAAAAUCUGUUUGUUUUGGAGAAUAUCAGGAGACAUCCACAAAGUUGUUGUUUACCAACUCAGUAACCUUACUAGAAGCUACAAAAAAAUGUGUAUGUUCCCCUUACCCCACUGAUGAGGAUUUUUUUCUGCUAUGUGAAGUUACCUUGGUGUGACACUUGGGGAAGUAUUGAGCACAUUCAUCACCUAACUUCAAAUUACCUACCUUUUGCCACUGUAGGUACUUAAAGUACCUAUGCAUUCAGUGGAGUGAUCUUUACUCAGCAUGAAUAUAAUCAUCCUGCUGUAUUAUAUGCAUAAAGAGUGUUGGUAUUCACACAGUUCACCACCACAAACCUCCUUUUUUAUUACACUGUUCAAAGCAUACUCAUACUACUGUGCAUGGACCACGGGCCUUCAUCUCAAGUAGAUUGCAGGUGCAGAAAAGAUACUGAGGCAGCACUUGAUGAAUUUGUAGCAGUAUGAAAAUUAAGAGUUGAAAUGAGAAAGCUAGGAUAAAAUUAUAGCUAAAGUUUCAUACAGUGAUUUUACAAAAAGGUUCAAAAUUUAAAAACAAAACAAAAGUAGAAAUACCAGGUUUAGUUUAGUUUACUCCUUUCCCUCUUUUUUACUCUGCUGUUCACACUUACUGUUUUAGAGACCCUAAGGGUGUGAUCACAUGCUCUCUCAUUCUACUUGCAGGGCACAGGAGUGUGUUAGAACUGUGUAGCGAAUUCUGUUGUUAUUUUUUGUAACUGCUUUAUCUCAUAGCAUGCAGAAUUUGGAAGGUAAUGUCUUCUAAAGAGUUUUCUGUCAUCCAAACUAUCCCUGUGUCACAGAGAUGCUGUGUGAAGCUACAUAAGUCAUUUUAGCUAAAAUAUUAAUGCGACAACUAAUAUUAUGUUUUUCAUUGAAUAUGUCUGCCCAACUUUAUCUUGAUUUUCAGAUUUUUGGAGCCUUAGGGAAGUACUGUACCUUUUGAAUGGUGUUCAGGGAACUGAGAGUGCUCAACAUCAUUUGCAGUAAAUCACUGGGUUCUGAAGGACUGAGCCUCAGGUUGGGACUCUCCACAGCCCUGAGUUCUGGACCUCAGGCUACCAUUACAAGCCUCUCUAGGAUAUGCCACCACUUAGACUUACAGUGAUCUUCCAGUCUAUCAGAUACUGUGGAAAUUAAUAUAUUACAGAUUUUGAGACAGCCAGCUGGUAUUAAUGAAAGCCAGAGAACUACUGAAGAUGCAUAUUUUACACUAAUGUUUUACUAAUAGCUGGAAUUGCAGCUGAAGUGAGCCUCCUUUAUUUUUCUAAAAGCAUCCGUAUUGACUGGAUUAUGUUGCUGAACUCUUACACUGUAGUGAGGAUCUCCAAAAUCAGGUACAGAGUACUUCAUUAUGUGCACGAACAGAAAUGCUUAAAUGGAUGAAGCAGCUAUUUACGUCUGAUAGGAGCUAAGUGGGACAUUAAAUUAAUGCCAAACAAGUUAGUGAGACUUUAAUCAAGAAAAAAAAAAUCUAAUGAACAGCAAUUGGAAACACAGCAUUUGGAAAGGUCAAAAUGGUACAUUACAUCCUUAUUAUCCAAAAGAACAGAUGAGUUUAAUAUCCUGGCAGCAUUUUCCUGUGAAGAAGAUAUUAAACAAGAACUGAAAAUGGCACAAGGUUCCCUCUUCCUUUCCUAUGACAAAGAUUGUAACAAGAUGAUGAAACUAUACAGAAUAAAUCUCUUUCUGCUUUAA
Myiozetetes cayanensis is the source of this 6587-nucleotide RNA transcript. It is a transcript of the gene named KH RNA binding domain containing, signal transduction associated 2, with no coding region annotated. Lineage: Eukaryota; Metazoa; Chordata; Aves; Passeriformes; Tyrannidae. The transcript is spliced from 15 exons. The record is from RefSeq and is a predicted model, not a curated record.